RNAcentral lists this transfer RNA (67 nucleotides) under Sorineuchora shanensis. RNAcentral's name for it is "tRNA-Leu". Lineage: Eukaryota; Metazoa; Arthropoda; Insecta; Blattodea; Pseudophyllodromiidae. The record is from RNAcentral.
UCUAAGAUGGCAGAUUAGUGCAAUGGGUUUAAGCUCCAGUUAUAAAGUCAUUGGACUUUUCUUAGAA